Molecule: ribosomal RNA, 1374 nt
Filed under: Vibrio cholerae
Lineage: Bacteria; Pseudomonadati; Pseudomonadota; Gammaproteobacteria; Vibrionales; Vibrionaceae
Description: partial 23S ribosomal RNA
Rfam family: Bacterial large subunit ribosomal RNA
Source: RNAcentral
CUGGGCAGUCAGAGGCGAUGAAGGACGUACUAACUUGCGAUAAGCGCAGAUAAGGCAGUAAGAGCCGUUUGAGUCUGCGAUUUCCGAAUGGGGAAACCCAACUGCAUAAGCAGUUACUGUUAACUGAAUACAUAGGUUAACAGAGCAAACCGGGGGAACUGAAACAUCUAAGUACCCCGAGGAGAAGAAAUCAACCGAGAUUCCGGUAGUAGCGGCGAGCGAACCUGGAUUAGCCCUUAAGCACUCGGUGAAGUAGGUGAACAAGCUGGAAAGCUUGGCGAUACAGGGUGAUAGCCCCGUAACCGACGCUUCAUCGAGCGUGAAAUCGAGUAGGGCGGGACACGUGAUAUCCUGUCUGAAUAUGGGGGGACCAUCCUCCAAGGCUAAAUACUCCUGACUGACCGAUAGUGAACCAGUACCGUGAGGGAAAGGCGAAAAGAACCCCUGUGAGGGGAGUGAAAUAGAACCUGAAACCGUGUACGUACAAGCAGUAGGAGCACCUUCGUGGUGUGACUGCGUACCUUUUGUAUAAUGGGUCAGCGACUUAUAUUCAGUGGCAAGGUUAACCGUAUAGGGGAGCCGUAGCGAAAGCGAGUCUUAACUGGGCGCUCAGUCUCUGGAUAUAGACCCGAAACCGGGUGAUCUAGCCAUGGGCAGGUUGAAGGUUGAGUAACAUCAACUGGAGGACCGAACCGACUAAUGUUGAAAAAUUAGCGGAUGACUUGUGGCUAGGGGUGAAAGGCCAAUCAAACUCGGAGAUAGCUGGUUCUCCCCGAAAGCUAUUUAGGUAGCGCCUCGGACGAAUACUACUGGGGGUAGAGCACUGUUAAGGCUAGGGGGUCAUCCCGACUUACCAACCCUUUGCAAACUCCGAAUACCAGUAAGUACUAUCCGGGAGACACACGGCGGGUGCUAACGUCCGUCGUGGAGAGGGAAACAACCCAGACCGCCAGCUAAGGUCCCAAAGUAUUGCUAAGUGGGAAACGAUGUGGGAAGGCUCAGACAGCUAGGAUGUUGGCUUAGAAGCAGCCAUCAUUUAAAGAAAGCGUAAUAGCUCACUAGUCGAGUCGGCCUGCGCGGAAGAUGUAACGGGGCUAAGCAAUACACCGAAGCUGCGGCAAUAUCUUUUAGAUAUUGGGUAGGGGAGCGUUCUGUAAGCCGUUGAAGGUGGAUCGUAAGGUUUGCUGGAGGUAUCAGAAGUGCGAAUGCUGACAUGAGUAACGACAAAGGGGGUGAAAAACCUCCUCGCCGGAAGACCAAGGGUUCCUGUCCAACGUUAAUCGGGGCAGGGUGAGUCGACCCCUAAGGUGAGGCCGAAAGGCGUAAUCGAUGGGAAACGGGUUAAUAUUCCCGUACUUCUGACUAUUGCGAUGG